This 479-nucleotide ribosomal RNA is filed under the name uncultured organism. RNAcentral's name for it is "bacterial SSU rRNA". It matches the Rfam family "Bacterial small subunit ribosomal RNA", at positions 28 to 507 of the family's 1533-position model. The record is from RNAcentral.
GAUGAACGCUAGCGGGAGGCUUAACACAUGCAAGCCGAGGGGUAUAUUGUUUUCGGACAAUAGAGACCGGCGGACGGGUGAGUAACGCGUAUGUAACUUGCCGCAUUCAUCGGGAUAGCCCGGGGAAACCCGGAUUAAUACCGAAUAACAUUAGGACUGGCAUCGGUUUUAAUUGAAAGAUUUAUCGGAAUGCGAUAGACAUGCGUCAGAUUAGUUAGUUGGUGAGGUAACGGCUCACCAAGACGAUGAUCUGUAGGGGUCCUGAGAGGGUGAUCCCCCACACUGGUACUGAGACACGGACCAGACUCCUACGGGAGGCAGCAGUGAGGAAUAUUGGACAAUGGGUGAGAGCCUGAUCCAGCCAUCCCGCGUGCAGGAAGACGGCCUUAUGGGUUGUAAACUGCUUUUAUACAGGAAUAAACCAUCCGACGUGUCGGAUGUUGAAGGUACUGUAUGAAUAAGCAUCGGCUAACUCCGUG